AUAACGUCGCAAGACCAAAGAGGGGGACCUUCGGGCCUCCUGCCAUCAGAUGUGCCCAGAUGGGAUUAGCUAGUAGGUGGGGUAACGGCUCACCUAGGCGACGAUCCCUAGCUGGUCUGAGAGGAUGACCAGCCACACUGGAACUGAGACACGGUCCAGACUCCUACGGGAGGCAGCAGUGGGGAAUAUUGCACAAUGGGCGCAAGCCUGAUGCAGCCAUGCCGCGUGUAUGAAGAAGGCCUUCGGGUUGUAAAGUACUUUCAGCGGGGAGGAAGGGAGUAAAGUUAAUACCUUUGCUCAUUGACGUUACCCGCAGAAGAAGCACCGGCUAACUCCGUGCCAGCAGCCGCGGUAAUACGGAGGGUGCAGGCGUUAAUCGGAAUUACUGGGCGUAAAGCGCACGCAGGCGGUUUGUUAAGUCAGAUGUGAAAUCCCCGGGCUCAACCUGGGAACUGCAUCUGAUACUGGCAAGCUUGAGUCUCGUAGAGGGGGGUAGAAUUCCAGGUGUAGCGGUGAAAUGCGUAGAGAUCUGGAGGAAUACCGGUGGCGAAGGCGGCCCCCUGGACGAAGACUGACGCUCAGGUGCGAAAGCGUGGGGAGCAAACAGGAUUAGAUACCCUGGUAGUCCACGCCGUAAACGAUGUCGACUUGGAGGUUGUGCCCUUGAGGCGUGGCUUCCGGAGCUAACGCGUUAAGUCGACCGCCUGGGGAGUACGGCCGCAAGGUUAAAACUCAAAUGAAUUGACGGGGGCCCGCACAAGCGGUGGAGCAUGUGGUUUAAUUCGAUGCAACGCGAAGAACCUUACCUGGUCUUGACAUCCACGGAAGUUUUCAGAGAUGAGAAUGUGCCUUCGGGAACCGUGAGACAGGUGCUGCAUGGCUGUCGUCAGCUCGUGUUGUGAAAUGUUGGGUUAAGUCCCGCAACGAGCGCAACCCUUAUCCUUUGUUGCCAGCGGUCCGGCCGGGAACUCAAAGGAGACUGCCAGUGAUAAACUGGAGGAAGGUGGGGAUGACGUCAAGUCAUCAUGGCCCUUACGACCAGGGCUACACACGUGCUACAAUGGCGCAUACAAAGAGAAGCGACCUCGCGAGAGCAAGCGGACCUCAUAAAGUGCGUCGUAGUCCGGAUUGGAGUCUGCAACUCGACUCCAUGAAGUCGGAAUCGCUAGUAAUCGUGGAUCAGAAUGCCACGGUGAAUACGUUCCCGGGCCUUGUACGCACCGCCCGUCACACCAUGGGAGUGGGUUGCAAAAGAAGUAGGUAGCUUAACCUUCGGGAGGGCGCUUACCACUUUGUGAUUCAUGACUGGGGUGAAGUCGGAACAAGGUAACCGUAGGGGAACCUGCGGUUG
This 1351-nucleotide ribosomal RNA is filed under the name metagenome. RNAcentral's name for it is "bacterial SSU rRNA". It matches the Rfam family "Bacterial small subunit ribosomal RNA", at positions 173 to 1520 of the family's 1533-position model. The record is from RNAcentral.